AUUUUCCGGUUGAUCCUGCCGGACCCCACUGCUGGACCCGACCGCUAUCGGGGUGGGACUUAGCCAUGCAAGUCGAACGCCCCGGGCUAUGGCGGGGCGUGGCGUACGGCUCAGUAACGCGUGGCUAACCUACCCUCGGGACGGGGAUAACCCCGGGAAACUGGGGCUAAUCCCCGAUAGGGGAAGGCGCCUGGAAUGGUCCUUCCCCCAAAGGGAUGUAGCGCCAUGCCCGCUACAUCCGCCCGAGGAUGGGGCUGCGUCCCAUCAGGUAGUUGGCGGGGUAACGGCCCGCCAAGCCUAUAACGGGUAGGGGCCGUGAGAGCGGGAGCCCCGAGAUGGGCACUGAGACAAGGGCCCAGGCCCUACGGGGUGCAGCAGGCGCGAAACCUCCGCAAUGCGGGAAACCGCGGCGGGGUCACCCCGAGUGCCACCCGAAGAGGGUGGCUUUUCCCCGGUGUAAAAACCCGGGAGAAUAAGCGGGGGGCAAGUCUGGUGUCGGCCGCCGCGGUAAUACCAGCCCCGCGAGUGGUCGGGACGUUUAUUGGGCCUAAAGCGUCCGUAGCCGGCCAGGUGUGUCCUCCCUGAAAUCCUCGGGCUCAACCCGAGGGCUGGGGAGGAUACUACCUGGCUAGGGGGCGGGAGAGGCCGAGGGUACUCUCGGGGUAGGGGCGAAAUCCUAUAAUCCCGGGAGGACCGCCAGUGGCGAAGGCGCUCGGCUGGAACGCGCCCGACGGUGAGGGACGAAAGCUGGGGGAGCAAAGGGGAUUAGAUACCCCCGUAGUCCCAGCUGUAAACGAUGCGGGCUAGGUGUUGGGUGGGCUUUGAGCCCACCCAGUGCCGCAGGGAAGCCGUUAAGCCCGCCGCCUGGGGAGUACGGCCGCAAGGCUGAAACUUAA
RNAcentral lists this ribosomal RNA (896 nucleotides) under uncultured crenarchaeote. Its description in RNAcentral is "bacterial SSU rRNA". It matches the Rfam family "Archaeal small subunit ribosomal RNA", at positions 1 to 859 of the family's 1478-position model. The record is from RNAcentral. Lineage: Archaea; Thermoproteati; Thermoproteota.